GUGGCCGUCGUUCAACGGCACAGGAUCCCGGCCCGCCAAGUCGGGGAUGGGGGUUCGAAUCCCCCCGGCCACA
This 73-nucleotide transfer RNA is filed under the name Actinomycetota bacterium. RNAcentral's name for it is "tRNA-Gly". It matches the Rfam family "tRNA". From Rfam's summary of the family: Transfer RNA (tRNA) molecules are approximately 80 nucleotides in length. Their secondary structure includes four short double-helical elements and three loops (D, anti-codon, and T loops). The record is from RNAcentral. Lineage: Bacteria; Bacillati; Actinomycetota.